This 399-nucleotide transfer-messenger RNA is filed under the name uncultured Prevotella sp. It matches the Rfam family "transfer-messenger RNA". Rfam says of the family: Bacterial tmRNA, also known as 10Sa RNA or SsrA, is named for its dual tRNA and mRNA-like properties. Its role is to liberate the mRNA from a stalled ribosome. The record is from RNAcentral. Lineage: Bacteria; Pseudomonadati; Bacteroidota; Bacteroidia; Bacteroidales; Prevotellaceae.
GGGGUUGACUGGAUUUGACGGCGAGAUGAAAUGGUACGUAAGCACGCGGAGGCUCGUCGGUUCCCUCCAUAAUCUGAGCAGGCAAAAAUUUAAUUGGCAACAACAAGUAUGCUCUCGCUGCCUAAUCGAAGUACAGUAGAUUACUGGCUUUAUCCUCUUACAAGGUAGGAGGACGAGACGUCGCUCCGAGGAUGUUGUUCCGAAUCCGGAGAUUCAGCGGCGCAGGAAAAAUCGGGAAUAGCCCACGCGGGCCUCGCCACGCGGGUGAAACUUCAGAGGAUAAGGCUGCGGUUGGUGGUCCAGGUCUUGCCACAGCUCGAAAACGAAGGCUGGAAUAAGCGUGUAGAAAGCGUAUGGUUUCCUUGUGCGGACGUGGGUUCGAAUCCCACCAGCUCCACC